This 76-nucleotide transfer RNA is filed under the name Staphylococcus aureus. RNAcentral's name for it is "tRNA-Thr(tgt)". It matches the Rfam family "tRNA". Rfam says of the family: Transfer RNA (tRNA) molecules are approximately 80 nucleotides in length. Their secondary structure includes four short double-helical elements and three loops (D, anti-codon, and T loops). Lineage: Bacteria; Bacillati; Bacillota; Bacilli; Caryophanales; Staphylococcaceae. The record is from RNAcentral.
GCCGGCCUAGCUCAAUUGGUAGAGCAACUGACUUGUAAUCAGUAGGUUGGGGGUUCAAGUCCUCUGGCCGGCGCCA